UACGUAGGGUGCAAGCGUUAAUCGGAAUUACUGGGCGUAAAGCGUGCGCAGGCGGUGAUGUAAGACAGGUGUGAAAUCCCCGGGCUUUACCUGGGAACUGCAUUUGUGACUGCAUCGCUGGAGUGCGGCAGAGGGGGAUGGAAUUCCGCGUGUAGCAGUGAAAUGCGUAGAUAUGCGGAGGAACACCGAUGGCGAAGGCAAUCCCCUGGGCCUGCACUGACGCUCAUGCACGAAAGCGUGGGGAGCAAACAGG
This 253-nucleotide ribosomal RNA is filed under the name uncultured bacterium. RNAcentral describes it as "partial 16S ribosomal RNA". It matches the Rfam family "Bacterial small subunit ribosomal RNA", at positions 524 to 776 of the family's 1533-position model. The record is from RNAcentral.